GACGAACGCUGGCGGCGUGCUUAACACAUGCAAGUCGAACGGAAAGGCCCUGCUUUUGUGGGGUGCUCGAGUGGCGAACGGGUGAGUAACACGUGAGUAACCUGCCCUUGACUUUGGGAUAACUUCAGGAAACUGGGGCUAAUACCGGAUAGGAGCUCCUGCUGCAUGGUGGGGGUUGGAAAGUUUCGGCGGUUGGGGAUGGACUCGCGGCUUAUCAGCUUGUUGGUGGGGUAGUGGCUUACCAAGGCUUUGAAGGGUAGCCGGCCUGAGAGGGUGACCGGCGACAUUGGGACUGAGAUACGGCCCAGACUCCUACGGUAGGCAGCAGUGGGGAAUAUUGCACAAUGGGCGGAAGCCUGAUGCAGCAACGCCGCGUGCGGGAUGACGGCCUUCGGGUUGUAAACCGCUUUCGCCUGUGACGAAGCGUGAGUGACGGUAAUGGGUAAAGAAGCACCGGCUAACUACGUG
This 468-nucleotide ribosomal RNA is filed under the name uncultured bacterium. RNAcentral's name for it is "partial 16S ribosomal RNA". It matches the Rfam family "Bacterial small subunit ribosomal RNA", at positions 28 to 507 of the family's 1533-position model. The record is from RNAcentral.